GACGAACGCUGGCGGCGUGCUUAACACAUGCAAGUCGAACGGAAAGGCCCUGCUUUUGUGGGGUGCUCGAGUGGCGAACGGGUGAGUAACACGUGAGUAACCUGCCCUUGACUUUGGGAUAACUUCAGGAAACUGGGGCUAAUACCGGAUAGGAGCUCCUGCUGCAUGGUGGGGGUUGGAAAGUUUCGGCGGUUGGGGAUGGACUCGCGGCUUAUCAGCUUGUUGGUGGGGUAGUGGCUUACCAAGGCUUUGACGGGUAGCCGGCCUGAGAGGGUGACCGGCCACAUUGGGACUGAGAUACGGCCCAGACUCCUACGGGAGGCAGCAGUGGGGAAUAUUGCACAAUGGGCGGAAGCGUGAUGCAGCAACGCCGCGUGCGGGAUGACGGCCUUCGGGUUGUAAACCGCUUUCGCCUGUGACGAAGCGUGAGUGACGGGAAUGGGUAAAGAAGCACCGGCUAACUACGG
Molecule: ribosomal RNA, 467 nt
Filed under: uncultured bacterium
Lineage: Bacteria
Description: partial 16S ribosomal RNA
Rfam family: Bacterial small subunit ribosomal RNA
Source: RNAcentral